CCUACGGGGGGCAGCAGUGGGGAAUAUUGGACAAUGGGGGCAACCCUGAUCCAGCCAUGCCGCGUGUGUGAAGAAGGCCCUCGGGUUGUAAAGCACUUUCAGUGAGGAAGAACGCCUGGUGGUUAAUACCCAUCAGGAAAGACAUCACUCACAGAAGAAGCACCGGCUAACUCCGUGCCAGCAGCCGCGGUAAUACGGAGGGUGCGAGCGUUAAUCGGAAUUACUGGGCGUAAAGCGCGCGUAGGUGGCUUGAUAAGCCGGUUGUGAAAGCCCCGGGCUCAACCUGGGAACGGCAUCCGGAACUGUCAAGCUAGAGGGCAGGAGAGGAAGGUAGACUUCCCGGUGUAGCGGUGAAAUGCGUAGAGAUCGGGAGGAAUACCAGUGGCGAAGGCGGCCUUAUGGACUGACACUGACACUGAGGUGCGAAAGCGUGGGUAGCAAACAGGAUUAGAUACCCCUGUAGUC
RNAcentral lists this ribosomal RNA (465 nucleotides) under Vreelandella stevensii. RNAcentral describes it as "partial 16S ribosomal RNA". It matches the Rfam family "Bacterial small subunit ribosomal RNA", at positions 338 to 795 of the family's 1533-position model. Lineage: Bacteria; Pseudomonadati; Pseudomonadota; Gammaproteobacteria; Oceanospirillales; Halomonadaceae. The record is from RNAcentral.